This 161-nucleotide ribosomal RNA is filed under the name Murraya paniculata. RNAcentral describes it as "5.8S ribosomal RNA". It matches the Rfam family "5.8S ribosomal RNA". From Rfam's summary of the family: 5.8S ribosomal RNA (5.8S rRNA) is a component of the large subunit of the eukaryotic ribosome. The record is from RNAcentral. Lineage: Eukaryota; Viridiplantae; Streptophyta; Magnoliopsida; Sapindales; Rutaceae.
AAAACGACUCUCGGCAACGGAUAUCUCGGCUCUCGCAUCGAUGAAGAACAUAGCGAAAUGCGAUACUUGGUGUGAAUUGCAGAAUCCCGUGCCAUGAGUCUUUGAACGCAAGUUGCGCCCCAAGCCGUUAGGCCGAGGGCACGUCUGCCUGGGUGUCACGC